CUACACAUGCAGUCGUACGGAAUUACAGUGGUAGCAAUAUUAUUGUAGUUUAGUGGCGAACGGGUGAGUAACACGUAAACAACGUGCCUCUUCGCUGGGGAUAACAACCCGAAAGGGUUGCUAAAACCGAAUAAUCUCGUUGGAGGACAUCCUUUGACGAGUAAAGCUCCGGCGCGAAGGGAGCGGUUUGCGUCCUAUUACGCUAGUUGGUAAGGUAACGGCUUACCAAGGCUACGAUGGGUAACCGGUCUGAGAGGAUGAUCGGUCACACUGGGACUGAGACACGGCCCAGACUCCUACGGGAGGCAGCAGUGAGGGAUUUUGCGCAAUGGACGAAAGUCUGACGCAGCGACACCGCGUGAGUGAUGAAGGCCUUCGGGUUGUAAAGCUCUGUCAGAGGGGAAGAGUAAGGACGGUACCCUCGGAGGAAGCCUCGGCUAACUACGUGCCAGCAACCGCGGUAAGACGUAGGGGGCAAGCGUUGUCCGGAAUUACUGGGCGUAAAGAGCUCGUAGGUGGGACUAUAAGUCG
RNAcentral lists this ribosomal RNA (531 nucleotides) under uncultured bacterium. RNAcentral describes it as "bacterial SSU rRNA". It matches the Rfam family "Bacterial small subunit ribosomal RNA", at positions 49 to 590 of the family's 1533-position model. The record is from RNAcentral.